UGAGAUCAACGGGGUGAACCGGGCGGUUCGAGAGAUGGCCGAGUCUCCAAAAACCACAGAGGAUGGUUUAGAAGAAGCAGACCGGUCUACCAAACAGUAAGAAAACUUCCGGUUAAACCGGCGACCGGUUUGUGAGGGAAAAGAUAACCUUCCCCGGCCAAGUCCCAACAAACCCGCAGCACCGACGAAUAAGCCUUCAUUAUCGUGGCCACAUCCAAGCGCGACACGUCCAACUCUAGAUCGGCGAAACGUCAGCGUUUCCGUGGAGAAGUCACCCAAAGUGAAAGAUCCAUCACCGUAGGAAACUUGGUACAUGCAGGUCUGCUUUUGAGUAUUGCAGACCGGUGAAUCAAGCCUAUUGCACAAGGGGGACCCACACGGAAUCCCAACGAAAGAUCUAGAUUGACGCGGGUCGAAAACCGGGUCAGAUUGAGAGUAGCAUUUCUUACACGGGGG
RNAcentral lists this unclassified non-coding RNA (456 nucleotides) under Hevea brasiliensis (rubber tree). Lineage: Eukaryota; Viridiplantae; Streptophyta; Magnoliopsida; Malpighiales; Euphorbiaceae. The record is from RNAcentral.